GUGGGGAAUAUUGGACAAUGGGCGAAAGCCUGAUCCAGCCAUGCCGCGUGUGUGAAGAAGGUCUUCGGAUUGUAAAGCACUUUAAGUUGGGAGGAAGGGUAGUAACCUAAUACGUUGCUACUUUGACGUUACCGACAGAAUAAGCACCGGCUAACUUCGUGCCAGCAGCCGCGGUAAUACGAAGGGUGCAAGCGUUAAUCGGAAUUACUGGGCGUACAGCGCGCGUAGGUGGUUCAGUAAGUUGGAAGUGAAAUCCCCGGGCUCAACCUGUGAACUGCUUUCAAAACUGAUGCGCUAGAGUACGGUAGAGGGUGGUGGAAUUUCCUGUGUAGCGGUGAAAUGCGUAGAUAUAGGAAGGAACACCAGUGGCGAAGGCGACCACCUGGACUGAUACUGACACUGAGGUGCGAAAGCGUGGGGAGCAAACAGGAUUAGAUACCCCUGUAGUCC
Molecule: ribosomal RNA, 450 nt
Filed under: uncultured bacterium
Lineage: Bacteria
Description: partial 16S ribosomal RNA
Rfam family: Bacterial small subunit ribosomal RNA
Source: RNAcentral